AGAUUAAGUUAUUAAGGGCGCACGGUGGAUGCCUUGGCACUAGAAGCCGAUGAAGGACGUUACUAACGACGAUAUGCUUUGGGGAGCUGUAAGUAAGCUUUGAUCCAGAGAUUUCCGAAUGGGGAAACCCAGCAUGAGUUAUGUCAUGUUAUCGAUAUGUGAAUACAUAGCAUAUCAGAAGGCACACCCGGAGAACUGAAACAUCUUAGUACCCGGAGGAAGAGAAAGAAAAUUCGAUUCCCUUAGUAGCGGCGAGCGAAACGGGAAGAGCCCAAACCAACAAGCUUGCUUGUUGGGGUUGUAGGACACUCUAUACGGAGUUACAAAGGA
This 330-nucleotide ribosomal RNA is filed under the name Staphylococcus aureus. Its description in RNAcentral is "partial 23S ribosomal RNA". It matches the Rfam family "Bacterial large subunit ribosomal RNA", at positions 1 to 329 of the family's 2925-position model. Lineage: Bacteria; Bacillati; Bacillota; Bacilli; Caryophanales; Staphylococcaceae. The record is from RNAcentral.